UACGUAGGGCGCAAGCGUUGUCCGGAAUUAUUGGGCGUAAAGAGCUCGUAGGCGGCUUGUCACGUCGAUUGUGAAAGCCCGAGGCUUAACCUCGGGUCUGCAGUCGAUACGGGCUAGCUAGAGUGUGGUAGGGGAGACUGGAAUUCCUGGUGUAGCGGUGAAAUGCGCAGAUAUCAGGAGGAACACCGGUGGCGAAGGCGGGUCUCUGGGCCGUAACUGACGCUGAGGAGCGAAAGCGUGGGGAGCAAACAGG
Molecule: ribosomal RNA, 253 nt
Filed under: uncultured bacterium
Lineage: Bacteria
Description: partial 16S ribosomal RNA
Rfam family: Bacterial small subunit ribosomal RNA
Source: RNAcentral